This 500-nucleotide ribosomal RNA is filed under the name uncultured bacterium. RNAcentral describes it as "partial 16S ribosomal RNA". It matches the Rfam family "Bacterial small subunit ribosomal RNA", at positions 30 to 523 of the family's 1533-position model. The record is from RNAcentral.
AUUGAACGCUGGCGGCAUGCCUUACACAUGCAAGUCGAACGGCAGCACGGGAGCAAUCCUGGUGGCGAGUGGCGAACGGGUGAGUAAAGUAUCGGAACGUGCCCAGUCGUGGGGGAUAACGUAGCGAAAGUUACGCUAAUACCGCAUACGAUCUAUGGAUGAAAGCGGGGGAUCGCAAGACCUCGCGCGAUUGGAGCGGCCGAUAUCAGAUUAGGUAGUUGGUGGGGUAAAGGCUCACCAAGCCGACUAUCUGUAGCUGGGCUGAGAGGACGACCAGCCACACUGGGACUGAGACACGGCCCAGACUCAUACGGGAGGAAGCAGUGGGGAAUUUUGGACAAUGGGCGAAAGCCUGAUCCAGCCAUGCCGCGUGCAGGAUGAAGGCCUUCGGGUUGUAAACUGCUUUUGUACGGAACGAAAAGGUUUGGCCUAAUAAGCUGAGCUCAUGACGGUACUGUAAGAAUAAGCACCGGCUAACUACGUGCCAGCCGCCGCCGUAA